RNAcentral lists this ribosomal RNA (406 nucleotides) under uncultured bacterium. RNAcentral's name for it is "partial 16S ribosomal RNA". It matches the Rfam family "Bacterial small subunit ribosomal RNA", at positions 30 to 526 of the family's 1533-position model. The record is from RNAcentral.
AUUGAACGCUGGCGGCAGGCCUAACACAUGCAAGUCGAGCGCGCGGCGGACGGGUGAGUAAUGUCUGGGAAACUGCCUGAUGGGGGGGGAUAACUAUUGGAAACGGUAGCUAAUACCGCAUACCAUCAGAUGUGCCCAGAUGGGAUUAGCUAGUAGGUGGGGUAACGGCUCACCUAGGCGACGAUCCCUAGCUGGUCUGAGAGGAUGACCAGCCACACUGGAACUGAGACACGGUCCGGACUCCUACGGGAGGCAGCAGUGGGGAAUAUUGCACAAUGGGCGAAAGCCUGAUGCAGCAAUGCCGCGUGUGUGAAGAAGGCCUUCGGGUUGUAAAGCACUUUCAGCGGGGAGGCGUUACCCGCAGAAGAAGCACCGGCUAACUCCGUGCCAGCAGCCGCGGUAAUUC